Molecule: ribosomal RNA, 256 nt
Filed under: uncultured bacterium
Lineage: Bacteria
Description: partial 16S ribosomal RNA
Rfam family: Bacterial small subunit ribosomal RNA
Source: RNAcentral
UACGGGGGGAGCAAGCGUUGUUCGGAUUUACUGGGCGUAAAGGGCGCGUAGGCGGUCGUGACAAGUCACUUGUGAAAUCUCCGGGCUUAACUCGGAACGGUCAAGUGAUACUGUCGGACUAGAGUACAGAAGGGGCAACUGGAAUUCUCGGGUGUAGCGGUGAAAUGCGUAGAUAUCGAGAGGAACACCUGCGGCGAAGGCGGGUUGCUGGGCCGACACUGACGCUGAGGCGCGGAAAGCCAGGGGAGCGAUCCGG